RNAcentral lists this long non-coding RNA (1751 nucleotides) under Octopus vulgaris (common octopus). The record is from RNAcentral. Lineage: Eukaryota; Metazoa; Mollusca; Cephalopoda; Octopoda; Octopodidae.
GAUCUGUGCUGUGGGAAUAGGCGUUGUUCACGCAGUCAUAGUCGGAGUGGCUCUGUUUCUCAUUCCUCUGGGCAGUGUUCCGGCUUGUGCUGGUACCACUUAAAGUUUGCCAAGAAGGCAAACAAGUGUAUCCAGCUGUGCAAUUUCAAACCCUCGUUAAACUAAAUCUGGAGAAGUUGAGCACGGCACCUUCUUCCUUUUCUUUUCCUACAAAUCGUGCAUUCUUCGUCAAAGAUCUGGUGUCGAAGAAAUUCUUCAUGGUAGACACCGGUUCUUGUAGCAUUUGGCCCCUUCAUCUGACUGCAGACAAGCCCAAGCGUUCCUCAAUUGUUUUGCAUGUUCAAAGAGGGUGCUGAAAAAGAUCAAAGAGGGUGCCGAAAGAGAUUAAAAAGGGUACCGAAAGAGAUCAAAGAGGAGUGCCGACAAAGAUCAAAGAGGGUGCCGAAAAAGAUCAAAGAGGGUGCCGAAAGAGAUCAAAGAGGAUUGCCGACAAAGAUCAAAGAGGGUGCCAACAAAGAUCAAAGGGGUGCAAAAAAAGAUCAAAGAGGAGUGCAGACAAAGAUGAAAGGGUGUCGAAAGAGAUGAAAGAGUGUGCUGAAAGAGAUCAAAGAGGGUGUCGAAAAAGAUUAAAGAGGGUGCCGAAAGAGAUUAAAGAGGGUGCCGUAAGAGAUUAAAAAGGGUGCCGAAAGAGAUCAAAGAGGGUACCGAAAGAGAUCAAAGAGGAGUGUCGACAAAGAUCAAAGAGGAGUGCCGACAAAGAUCAAAGAGGGUGCUGAAAGAGUGUGCCGAAAGAGAUCAAAGAGGGUGCCGAAAGAGAUUAAAAAGGGUACCGAAAGAGAUCAAAGAGGAGUGCCGACAAAGAUCAAAGAUGGUGUCGAAAGAGAUCAAAGAGGGUGCCGAAAGAGAUCAAAGAGGAGUGCCGACAAAGAUGAAAGAGGAGUGUCGACAAAGAUCAAAGAGGGUGCCGAAAGAGGAGUGCCGACAAAGAUUAAAGAGGGUGCCAACAAAAAUCAAAGAGGGUGCCGAAAGAGAUCAAAGAGGAGUGUCGACAAAGAUCAAAGAGGAGUGCCGACAACGAUCAGAGAGGAGUGCCGAAAAAGAUUAAAGAGGGUGCCGAAAGAGAUCAAAGAGGAGUGCCGACAAAGAUCAAAGAAGGUGUCGAAAGAGAUCAAAGAGGACUGCCGACAAAGAUCAAAGAGGGUGCUGACAAAUAUUAAAAAGGGUACCGAAAAAGAUCAAAGAGGAGUGCCGAAAAAGAUCAAAGAGGUGUGCCGACAAAGAUCAAAGGGGGUGCCGAAAAGACAAAAGAUCAAAGAGGAGUGCCGACAAAGAUCAAAGAGGGUGCCGAAAAAGAUCAAAGAGGGUGCUGAAAGAGAUGAAAGAGGUUGCUGAAAGAGAUCAAAGAGGGUGCCGAAAGAGAUCAAAGAAGAGUGCCGAAAUAGAUCAAAGAGGGUGCCAAAAGAGAUCAAAGAGGGUCCUGACAGAGAUCAAAGAGGGUGCCGAAAGAGAUCAAAGAAGAGUCCCGAAAGAGAUCAAAGGAAUAGAAAGGUGGUAUCAAAAGUGAAAGUAGAGGAGACAGGUAAAGACAGGAGAGAGGGAGGGGAGAAGAGAGAGAAAGUGGACGAGGAAAAAGAAAAGAAAGUCAUCAAUGACCCAUGUAUUAUGUAUUUAAUUUGGGUUUUUAAUUAUUUACACGCUUAUUGCUACUUAUUACUGUCCUGGUCGUUUUGUCUUUUCAUAGCAUCACUCGC